Molecule: long non-coding RNA, 561 nt
Filed under: Elaeis guineensis (African oil palm)
Lineage: Eukaryota; Viridiplantae; Streptophyta; Magnoliopsida; Arecales; Arecaceae
Description: long non-coding RNA (EGUI_LNC027311)
Source: RNAcentral
AUCGGCGGAUGAUCCGAGUAUCUCUUCAUAUGCUCAGCACACUUCAUACCCUAGUUUCUCAGACAUCGAUCUCCCCAUAGGUGAUGCGUCUAUAUCACCAAGGAUGAGCGAGCCGAGAGACAUUGUACUGAUCUGAUGAGCAACAUGUUGACCAGCAUUGGAGGGCCAGAGGUAGGGGUCGACUAGGAGUUUUUCGAGAUAGACACAGAUACAUAUUGAUAGGCCGAGCACGCCAUCAUCUCUUGCUCCAUCGGUUGAUAUCGUGCCUGAGCCAUUACACCAAUGAUUAGAGAUGACACGCGUUUAUGAGAGGCAGAUGUGGAGAAAGCCUCAGUAUCUUGAUAUAUACGCCUCUCGAUAGUUGUGAUAUUUUUAUAUUUUUUUUUGCUAAAAAAUUUUAUAAUCAUCAAAUAUUGGGUUACAUUAUUUUAAAAUUAAUAUUAUAAUUUUUUUAAUCUGAAAGCACAUAUUAUAUUUUUUUUGUUAGUUGCGUAAAAAAUUAAUUAUUGAUCUUGAUACAGGAUAUAUGGUUGAAGUUUGAGAUUGUCCAUUAUUUCUAGG